GGCUGACACCAUGGAAGGUAUCUCUCUCCCUCUCAUCAUGCUCUACCCUGGGUAUAAUCCUAUUUGCUUACUACACCACCACAUUAGCCAUCAAAUUUGUGACAAGAAAACUGAAACCCUCUUCCUUUCUUCCGAGAGGACAGGUCAGGUCCUUGCUUGCUAGAUUUGAUCUAUUUAUCUGCAUUGUGAAGUAACAACGGUUCUUUGGUCCAUGUUAAGAUGUCAAUAAACUAUUUGUUUGUUGAAACAACCAUCGAUCACUCUCAGAUACUGUUGACUGAUUUCUGUUGCUAGUAUAGUUCAAGCUUCUUUGCCAUGUAUUUCAUUAGGAUGUGAACAAUCUACUACAUGCUCACAAAGCUAUUGACUUACAUUUUUUGUUUCUGUGCUGUCAAUGUUUGCCAAGCUAUUUAAACGAUGAUGACAAACUGAAAUCAUGAAUACUCAUAUAGAAACUUGAACAACCAUCUUGUUUAAUUUGGUGAUGUUCCUCCAUGCUAAGAGCUAAUCUGCUGCAUUGUUAUUCAACUUUCAUUGAUAGUUUUAGUUUCGCUGAAAUCAUGUUUUCUUUUCUAUGCUUAUGUCUGUGGACGAACACUACUAGCUCCAGAAGGACCGACAUUACCAUCAAGUACGCCAUCGAGGUAAUUCACCAUCCAUCAUCAACUAUGCUUUGCUCUCCUUAGUUUUUCUCUUUGCUGUAAAGCACAAAUAAAAUUUAAGCUAUGUAGAUUAAUUGAUCUAAAGAGGGUCAAAGAGGAUGUGACAACAUGUUUACUGCCUUAUUAUCUUCUGCUUGAUCUGACACUAUUUAUGUCCAAACCUUUUUUGCUUGUCGUCAUCACCCAUUUGUUGGGCUGUAUAAGUGUAUCUGUUGUCCAAUUUGCUCCAUCAUAUUUCCUGAUGUACUUCUACAUAUAUAUGUUGGUUGUAAUCUGCUUGAACAAUCCAAGUACUUGAUAUUCCAUUCUAUUCUUGUAGGUGAAUGGAGCUUGUGUUGUUGGUAGAACUCCGUUGAUGACUUCUUCCUAUGUUGAAGAGCAUGUUCUGUGGUAUCCAAGAGUAGCUAGCUUUUAUACUGGCAGAGGGGUUUAUUUGUAGAUCCCGAUAUUUAU
This 1115-nucleotide long non-coding RNA is filed under the name Triticum aestivum (bread wheat). Its description in RNAcentral is "long non-coding RNA (TAES_LNC000669)". The record is from RNAcentral. Lineage: Eukaryota; Viridiplantae; Streptophyta; Magnoliopsida; Poales; Poaceae.